GACGAACGCUGGCGGCGUGCUUAACACAUGCAAGUCGAACGGAAAGGCCUCUUUCGGGGGGUACUCGAGUGGCGAACGGGUGAGUAACACGUGAGUAACCUGCCCUUGACUUUGGGAUAACUUCAGGAAACUGGGGCUAAUACCGGAUAGGAGCUCCUGCUGCAUGGUGGGGGUUGGAAAGUUUCGGCGGUUGGGGAUGGACUCGCGGCUUAUCAGCUUGUUGGUGGGGUAGUGGCUUACCAAGGCUUUGACGGGUAGCCGGCCUGAGAGGGUGACCGGCCACAUUGGGACUGAGAUACGGCCCAGACUCCUACGGGAGGCAGCAGUGGGGAAUAUUGCACAAUGGGUGGAAGCCUGAUGCAGCAACGCCGUGUGCGGGAUGACAGCCUUCGGGUUGUAAACCGCUUUCGCUCAUGACGAAGCUUUGUGUGACGGUAGUGGGUAAAGAAGCACCGGCUAACUACGUG
This 467-nucleotide ribosomal RNA is filed under the name uncultured bacterium. Its description in RNAcentral is "partial 16S ribosomal RNA". It matches the Rfam family "Bacterial small subunit ribosomal RNA", at positions 28 to 507 of the family's 1533-position model. The record is from RNAcentral.